Molecule: long non-coding RNA, 417 nt
Organism: Lathyrus oleraceus (garden pea)
Lineage: Eukaryota; Viridiplantae; Streptophyta; Magnoliopsida; Fabales; Fabaceae
Exons: 2
Source: RefSeq, a predicted model, not a curated record
AAAAAUGUUGGGAUAUGUGAAGAAAAUAUUUUUUUACUGAAAAUUGAAAAUCAUUUAACAGGCUAGAAAUAUGGGGAAAGGGGACAGUAGGUAAACUCUACACUGCUGUAGAUGUACAGCAGAGCCAAAUCAUGUCAAUCAAAAAAUAAUUUUUUAACUAGGGUUAGAAAAAGGUAAAUUAGAUUAGAUAUGUUUACAGUGGUUUCAGUAUCCAAACACAUACACAGUAUCCAAAGGUUUCAUACACAUCCAUUCAAUAAAUAAUUUUUUUUUAAAUAAGGUUAGAAAAAGAUAAAAACUUAUCUUUUAGCACAAUCAUCAAGUGCAGUAUCCAGGAGCAAGGAGAUAGUUGAUUCUAAAUUACUUCCAGCGAGGAGAUUAGAUUUUGCUUGGUCAUAUGUGUUAGACACCUCACUG